AGCGAACGCUGGCGGCAGGCUUAACACAUGCAAGUCGAGCGGGCAUAGCAAUAUGUCAGCGGCAGACGGGUGAGUAACGCGUGGGAACGUACCUUUUGGUUCGGAACAACUGAGGGAAACUUCAGCUAAUACCGGAUAAGCCCUUACGGGGAAAGAUUUAUCGCCGAAAGAUCGGCCCGCGUCUGAUUAGCUAGUUGGUGAGGUAAUGGCUCACCAAGGCGACGAUCAGUAGCUGGUCUGAGAGGAUGAUCAGCCACAUUGGGACUGAGACACGGCCCAAACUCCUACGGGAGGCAGCAGUGGGGAAUAUUGGACAAUGGGCGCAAGCCUGAUCCAGCCAUGCCGCGUGAGUGAUGAAGGCCCUAGGGUUGUAAAGCUCUUUUGUGCGGGAAGAUAAUGGCGGUACCGCAAGAAUAAGCCCCGGCUAACUUCGUG
RNAcentral lists this ribosomal RNA (435 nucleotides) under uncultured bacterium. RNAcentral's name for it is "partial 16S ribosomal RNA". It matches the Rfam family "Bacterial small subunit ribosomal RNA", at positions 29 to 507 of the family's 1533-position model. The record is from RNAcentral.